This 407-nucleotide long non-coding RNA is filed under the name Bos indicus x Bos taurus (hybrid cattle). RNAcentral describes it as "lncRNA (ENSBIXG00000019119.1)". The record is from RNAcentral. Lineage: Eukaryota; Metazoa; Chordata; Mammalia; Artiodactyla; Bovidae.
GCAGAGAGCGAGGUGGACGGGCCGGCUCCUGCCCCUUGUCCCCAGUGUCUGCUCAGGAGCCACUUGAGGAGGAGUGGCAGGCAGCUCGUGCCUCCUGGAGCCCGUCUGCCCCACGCUGCUCAGAGACAUGUCAUAACAGGUUCCCGGAGUGCUUCCUCGCCAUCUGUCUCUUGCGCUAGAUGACAGCGCGGGCUGGCAGAGAUGCGUUCAAUUUGCAAUUGGGACAGGAGAUGGUUUGAUAACAUGUGAGGAUCCCAGCCUUCUCAUCCUGCCCACCAAAGUGGAUCUGGCUCUUACCCCACUGUCCCUGCUCCCAAGACAGACUGCAGGGUUCUGCCUUUGUCACUUUGGCUCCAGGAUUUGGCACAAAGACAAGUAAGAAUAAAGGUGGGCCAUGACUAUCGCCA